Molecule: transfer RNA, 67 nt
Filed under: Sphaerodactylus townsendi
Lineage: Eukaryota; Metazoa; Chordata; Lepidosauria; Squamata; Sphaerodactylidae
Description: tRNA-Ala
Rfam family: tRNA
About the family: Transfer RNA (tRNA) molecules are approximately 80 nucleotides in length. Their secondary structure includes four short double-helical elements and three loops (D, anti-codon, and T loops). Further hydrogen bonds mediate the characteristic L-shaped molecular structure. tRNAs have two regions of fundamental functional importance: the anti-codon, which is responsible for specific mRNA codon recognition, and the 3' end, to which the tRNAs corresponding amino acid is attached (by aminoacyl-tRNA synthetases). tRNAs cope with the degeneracy of the genetic code in two manners: having more than one tRNA (with a specific anti-codon) for a particular amino acid; and 'wobble' base-pairing, i.e. permitting non-standard base-pairing at the 3rd anti-codon position.
Source: RNAcentral
GUUGGCUAAGUGGUAGAGCACCUGCUUGGCAUCCAGAAGGCCUCAGGUUCGAUCCCUGCCAUCUCCA